UUAUGCUGAGUUCUGCAUGGAAAGCCAACUUGCACAGACUUGAUUCAUUUAGCCUAAAUAUCAAUCUUAAAAAGCCAUGAACAAUGUGAUCCGUUAAGUUCAGCAUGCCUCAUAGAAUAUCUGAUGUGAACACCCACGGAAGCUGAGACUGAAUGUUCUAGUUAGAAUUCUGCACUUGUUUUUACUUGUGGACAGAAUGUGUGAAUGAUUACACAACUAUUUACAGGUGCAAAAUAAAAAGGUUUAAUGACAACGGGCUAUGACUACAGAAAGGCAGAGUCAGAAAGCAACAGCUCAUUAAUUCUUUUAGAACCUUAAACAGUUUUAUGCUGUGCACUGCAUUCUAAGGAAAUGGUCCCUCUGACUACAGUGUCUCCCACUUGUGACUGCAUGACCACUAAUCUUCCCUAAGCAACCAAACUGCACUCGUGGCAAUUACACUGUUUACAUUGGGUGGUUUGCCUGACAGCCCGUGGAGUGGUUCCAGCUACUGCUGUGGCAUCAAAGAUAGGAAAUGGCUAUAAAGCAGCUCAUAAAGACUAACAGUCAAACUUUCUGCUGUGCUUACAGACAAUGGAGUGCUUAAAGCUAUCAUCACCUGAGAGGUGACAUGGGAUUAGAGAGUGUCUUCUAAAGAAGGGGGUGGAGUCCAUCAGGCAGAACUGUCUAAUACCCUACGGAACUGUACCAGUUUAGUCUUCAAAAGUAUUAGGAUUGUUAAGCCUGGAAAACAGAAGGCUCUGAGGUGACCUAAUUGUGGCCUUCCAGUACCUGAAAGGAGCCUACAAGAAAGGUGGAGAGAGACUUUGUAAAAAGGCCUGAAUGACAGGACAAAGAUGAAUGGCUUCAAACUGAAAGAGAAGCCAGAUGCAGCAAUGUGCAGAAUCAGCUGUAAGAGGAAGGCUUUUCCAGGAAGGAGGACAUCGAGAUUUGGAAGAUCUGCUAUUCCUGGAUUUAUUGCCUAACACUGAACAAGCUAAUCAUUUUGUAUUAUCACUUGGAUGUGAAUUCACAGCUAAACUAAACACCAAAACUGUGCCAGACAUUGGCAGGCUGAUUAAAGACUGCAGAGCAGUUGCAGAGUGCUCUGACCAUGGCUAUAUGAGAUGCUGAUAGCUCUCUGAGACACAGAAUAUGCCACCCAGCACCUUCAUGGGGCUGUGGGGGCUUGUUACAAAGUCUGAGUGAACACAAGAAGGUCAUACAGCUAUGCUGCAG
Molecule: long non-coding RNA, 1218 nt
Organism: Passer domesticus (house sparrow)
Lineage: Eukaryota; Metazoa; Chordata; Aves; Passeriformes; Passeridae
Exons: 3
Source: RefSeq, a predicted model, not a curated record